GCUCAGGAUGAACGCUAGCUACAGGCUUAACACAUGCAAGUCGAGGGGCAUCAGGAAGAAAGCCUGCUUUCUUUGCUGGCGACCGGCGCACGGGUGAGUAACACGUAUCCAACCUGCCCUUUACUCGGGGAUAGCCUUUCGAAAGAAAGAUUAAUACCCGAUAGCAUAAUGAUUCCGCAUGGUUUCAUUAUUAAAGGAUUCCGGUAAAGGAUGGGGAUGCGUUCCAUUAGGUUGUUGGUGAGGUAACGGCCCACCAAGCCUUCGAUGGAUAGGGGUUCUGAGAGGAAGGUCCCCCACAUUGGAACUGAGACACGGUCCAAACUCCUACGGGAGGCAGCAGUGAGGAAUAUUGGUCAAUGGGCGCUAGCCUGAACCAGCCAAGUAGCGUGAAGGAUGAAGGCUCUAUGGGUCGUAAACUUCUUUUAUAUAAGAAUAAAGUGCAGUAUGUAUACUGUUUUGUAUGUAUUAUAUGAAUAAGGAUCGGCUAACUCCGUGCCAGCAGCCGCGGUAAUACGGAGGAUCCGAGCGUUAUCCGGAUUUAUUGGGUUUAAAGGGAGCGUAGGUGGACUGGUAAGUCAGUUGUGAAAGUUUGCGGCUCAACCGUAAAAUUGCAGUUGAUACUGUCAGUCUUGAGUACAGUAGAGGUGGGCGGAAUUCGUGGUGUAGCGGUGAAAUGCUUAGAUAUCACGAAGAACUCCGAUUGCGAAGGCAGCUCACUGGACUGCAACUGACACUGAUGCUCGAAAGUGUGGGUAUCAAACAGGAUUAGAUACCCUGGUAGUCCACACAGUAAACGAUGAAUACUCGCUGUUUGCGAUAUACAGUAAGCGGCCAAGCGAAAGCAUUAAGUAUUCCACCUGGGGAGUACGCCGGCAACGGUGAAACUCAAAGGAAUUGACGGGGGCCCGCACAAGCGGAGGAACAUGUGGUUUAAUUCGAUGAUACGCGAGGAACCUUACCCGGGCUUAAAUUGCAGUGGAAUGAUGUGGAAACAUGUCAGUGAGCAAUCACCGCUGUGAAGGUGCUGCAUGGUUGUCGUCAGCUCGUGCCGUGAGGUGUCGGCUUAAGUGCCAUAACGAGCGCAACCCUUAUCUUUAGUUACUAACAGGUUAUGCUGAGGACUCUAGAGAGACUGCCGUCGUAAGAUGUGAGGAAGGUGGGGAUGACGUCAAAUCAGCACGGCCCUUACGUCCGGGGCUACACACGUGUUACAAUGGGGGGGUACAGAAGGCAGCUAGCGGGUGACCGUAUGCUAAUCCCAAAAUCCUCUCUCAGUUCGGAUCGAAGUCUGCAACCCGACUUCGUGAAGCUGGAUUCGCUAGUAAUCGCGCAUCAGCCACGGCGCGGUGAAUACGUUCCCGGGCCUUGUACACACCGCCCGUCAAGCCAUGGGAGCCGGGGGUACCUGAAGUACGUAACCGCAAGGAUCGUCCUAGGGUAAAACUG
This 1446-nucleotide ribosomal RNA is filed under the name uncultured organism. Its description in RNAcentral is "SSU rRNA". It matches the Rfam family "Bacterial small subunit ribosomal RNA". The record is from RNAcentral.